CCAAGCGCCGCCUGCCGACUGCCGUCCGCCUGUCCUGCCGAACAGCUGAAGUGCCGAGUCACCGCCUGGGGCCUGGGCGCCUGGCGGACACCGUGUGCCACCGCGCCGCCGUCGCCUGCCGUCCUGCGAAGGUUUGGAAGAGAUCAAAAGAGAUCAAGUUAUCAGGCUUCAGUUUCACUUUCAUUCAAUUGUUUUUUUUUCACAGUAGUGCAGAGUUUGUCCAAUCUUAUUACUAUCUUCAGUGUUCAGUCCUAGACCAAAAAACCUUUUUUUAUUAUUCUUUUCACACACAGCUGCCCCAUUUAUUUACUAAGUUUGGUAUUGCCUCUGUUUUUUAUUUUUCCCUAACUACUCACGGCUCAUUUGCAGGAAACCAAAAACCGACACUAUAUGAGCUGGAAAUACAAGAGGCACAUCCCACUGCUAGCACUUCUGUAUUGAUCAUGUUCAUCUGGAACGAAAUAAUACUCGGUGACUUCACAGCGACUGCAUGUGCCAUCGGCCAAACUAGGUGGUCAUCGUGUUCGGUUUUUCGGUUAAACCGAAAACCG
Molecule: long non-coding RNA, 551 nt
Filed under: Zea mays
Lineage: Eukaryota; Viridiplantae; Streptophyta; Magnoliopsida; Poales; Poaceae
Description: long non-coding RNA (ZMAY_LNC000696)
Source: RNAcentral